GGGCAGGUUGGGGAGCGGUCAAACCCAGCGGACUGUAAAUCCGCCGCCUCGUGCUUCGCAAGUUCGAAUCUUGCUCUGCCCACCA
RNAcentral lists this transfer RNA (85 nucleotides) under Vibrio chagasii. RNAcentral's name for it is "tRNA-Tyr". It matches the Rfam family "tRNA". Rfam says of the family: Transfer RNA (tRNA) molecules are approximately 80 nucleotides in length. The record is from RNAcentral. Lineage: Bacteria; Pseudomonadati; Pseudomonadota; Gammaproteobacteria; Vibrionales; Vibrionaceae.